Molecule: ribosomal RNA, 520 nt
Filed under: uncultured Glomus
Lineage: Eukaryota; Fungi; Glomeromycota; Glomeromycetes; Glomerales; Glomeraceae
Description: SSU rRNA
Rfam family: Eukaryotic small subunit ribosomal RNA
Source: RNAcentral
AGCAGCCGCGGUAAUUCCAGCUCCAAUAGCGUAUAUUAAAGUUGUUGCAGUUAAAAAGCUCGUAGUUGAACCUUAGGCCCGCGCGGGCGGUCCGUCCUCAGGGCGAGCACUGCUCCGUCGCGGGUCUCACCUUCUGGCGAGCGUGGAUGCCAUUUAUUUGGUGUCCGCGGGAACCAGGACCUUUACCUUGAAAAAUUAGAGUGCUCAAAGCGGGCUCUUGCGCUUGAAUACAUUAGCAUGGAAUAAUGAAAUAGGACGAUGGUUCUAUUUUGUUGGUUUCCGGGACCGUCGUAAUGAUUAAUAGGGAUAGUUGGGGGCAUUCGUAUUCAAUUGUCAGAGGUGAAAUUCUUGGAUUUAUUGAAGACGGACUACUGCGAAAGCAUUUGCCAAGGAUGUUUUCAUUAAUCAAGAACGAAAGUUGGGGGAUCGAAGACGAUCAGAUACCGUCGUAGUCUCAACCAUAAACUAUGCCGACUGGGAAUCGGACGAUGUUAUUUUUGUGACUCGUUCGGCGCCCGAG